AGAGUUUGAUCCUGGCUCAGAUUGAACGCUGGCGGCAUGCUUUACACAUGCAAGUCGAACGGCAGCACGGGCUUCGGCCUGGUGGCGAGUGGCGAACGGGUGAGUAAUGCAUCGGAACGUGCCCAUUUGUGGGGGAUAACUACGCGAAAGCGUGGCUAAUACCGCAUACGCCCUGAGGGGGAAAGCGGGGGAUUCUUCGGAACCUCGCGCAAUUGGAGCGGCCGAUGUCAGAUUAGCUUGUUGGUGAGGUAAAGGCUCACCAAGGCGACGAUCUGUAGCGGGUCUGAGAGGAUGAUCCGCCACACUGGGACUGAGACACGGCCCAGACUCCUACGGGAGGCAGCAGUGGGGAAUUUUGGACAAUGGGGGCAACCCUGAUCCAGCCAUGCCGCGUGAGUGAAGAAGGCCUUCGGGUUGUAAAGCUCUUUCAGCCGGGAAGAAAGCGCACUCUCUAACAUAGGGUGUGGAUGACGGUACCGGAAGAAGAAGCACCGGCUAACUACGUGCCAGCAGCCGCGGUAAUACGUAGGGUGCAAGCGUUAAUCGGAAUUACUGGGCGUAAAGCGUGCGCAGGCGGUUAUAUAAGACAGAUGCGAAAUCCCCGGGCUCAACCUGGGAACUGCAUUAGUGACUGUAUAGCUGGAGUGCGGCAGAGGGGGAUGGAAUUCCGCGUGUAGCAGUGAAAUGCGUAGAUAUGCGGAGGAACACCGAUGGCGAAGGCAAUCCCCUGGGCCUGCACUGACGCUCACGCACGAAAGCGUGGGGGAGCAAACAGGAUUAGAUACCCUGGUAGUCCACGC
RNAcentral lists this ribosomal RNA (800 nucleotides) under uncultured bacterium. RNAcentral describes it as "bacterial SSU rRNA". It matches the Rfam family "Bacterial small subunit ribosomal RNA", at positions 8 to 800 of the family's 1533-position model. The record is from RNAcentral.